UGACAGUACUCCUACGGGAGGCAGCAGUGGGGAAUAUUGCACAAUGGGCGCAAGCCUGAUGCAGCAACGCCGCCGUGAGCGAUGAAGGCCUUCGGGUCGUAAAGCUCUGUCCUCAAGGAAGAAUAAAUGACGGUACUUGAGGAGGAAGCCCCGGCUAACUACGUGCCAGCAGCCGCGGUAAUACGUAGGGGGCGAAGCGUUAUCCGGAAUCACUGGGCGUAAAGGGGUGCGUAGGCGGUUUUCUAAGUCAGAAGUGAAAGGCUAUGGCUCAACCAUAGUAAGCUUUUGUAAACUAGUUAAACUUAGAGUGCAGGAGAGGAAAGUGGAAUUCCUAGUGUAGAGGUGAAAUUCGUAGAUAUUAGGAGGAACACCAGUGGCGAAGGCGACUUUCUUGGACUGUAACUGACGCUGAGGCACGAAAGCGUGGGGAGCGAACAGGAUUAGAUACCCCUGGUAG
This 457-nucleotide ribosomal RNA is filed under the name uncultured bacterium. RNAcentral's name for it is "bacterial SSU rRNA". It matches the Rfam family "Bacterial small subunit ribosomal RNA", at positions 328 to 793 of the family's 1533-position model. The record is from RNAcentral.